CCGGGCCGGGGGAGCUACCGCAGCCGCCACCCAGCGGAGCUGUGCCCCACGGAAUUGCGGUGCGAGGGCUCUCCUGGCCUGUACAGGACAACCCCAACAAUUCGGCAGCGUGCCUGAGAGCAGGGUCCAUGAUCUGAAGACGACGUCAGGAUUCAGAGGAAGAAGUUGACACCGACCAGACAGAAUCCUGUGUUUGAAUGGAAUUUAUGCAUCAUGUAUGAGGGGUAUGAAUAUGCAACAGGCUGUUGCUUUUAAGAGUUAAUCCUCUGUUGACGUGGGUCCUUUUUCAGGUUUAUGCUGCCCAGAAAGAGGCACCCAGACUGUCCAUAACUCUUUGCUCUUAUUGUCUCGUAUUGUCCUAAUCCCAAUUGUUCAAAUUUUAUUACUCUAAUUAUAUUGCUAUUUGUAUAACCAUUUUAUUACUAUUAAACUUUUAAAAUUUUAAAAACAA
Molecule: non-coding RNA, 451 nt
Organism: Agelaius phoeniceus (red-winged blackbird)
Lineage: Eukaryota; Metazoa; Chordata; Aves; Passeriformes; Icteridae
Source: RefSeq, a predicted model, not a curated record